ACUUACCAGAGAAAAAUCAUAGUUUAAAAGUCUUUUCUGCUUUCUUCCCCCCCAUUAGCACCUACAGAAUGAAAUUCCAACAGUAAUCAUCAGUGUGGUAGUGACGGUCAUUCUUCUCUUCACAUUCUUGCUGGUAGUGUUAUUGACAUAUAAACGCUCGAGGAAGUAUCAACUGCAUGUGAUAAAAAGCUCAGACUUAUCUGGAGAACAAAUUCCCAACGGAGUAGAAGAAGAGAAUACCCUUUUGACAAUGCAGCAGAUACCUGAUGGCCAUUCAGUAUCACAGGGAACAUGUCACGAUCCUGUGGAAUCCAGCAUCUAAAAAAGGCUCUUUCAUGCUAGGCUGGAAAAUAAGGAUUAAUUCCU
This 366-nucleotide long non-coding RNA is filed under the name Chrysemys picta bellii (western painted turtle). Its description in RNAcentral is "lncRNA (ENSCPBG00000001994.1)". The record is from RNAcentral. Lineage: Eukaryota; Metazoa; Chordata; Testudines; Emydidae.